AAACGAAUACGAAUAUCGCCGAAGAAUAUCUUUAAAGUACUCUGCAAUCGCAGUAUAUGGUAUAAAUUCGGCGCGCAAGUAAGAAACUUCUCAGAAAGACUUCAGUAACGCACUGACGAGUAACGCACCUUGCACAAAAAUGACUAGCAACAGGAAAACACUUAUGAGAAAAUUAAAAAGCUUAGCAGAAAAACAAAAUAAGUCUCUGAAAUUUAUGAAAUCAUUACACGCAAAAAUUCUUAGGCAGAAGAUGCAUGAAAAAAUUGCAGCAGAAGCGUUGAGGAAAGAGGAAGCGGUUAUUUCUAGCAGCACACAAAUUAAAAAUGCUUAUGUAGGCUUGACGAAACCAGUUGGACCAAAGAUGUACAUACUCGUCAUACCUUCUGCUCAAAUAUAAACGAGACUGGCUCAAACAACAAAAACGGUUAAUUAUUCUUCAAUAUUUAUUUUAUCCCCUUCAAAAUAGUCACCAUUAGAGGCGAUACACAUAUGCCACCUUUUUUUCCAAUCUUCCUAACACUUCUAAGCAAAAUACCUUAGAAAUAAAUUAUUGAAUAAUUUUCUACUGGAGACAUGCCAUCAAAAACGUUAACGGUGUUAAAAAUUUCGAGUUCCGAUUUAAAUCAUUUAUUCGGAAAUUGUGGCAAUUCUUUGGAUAAUAAUCUAUGCCAAAUUUCGUAAAGAUACCUUGCGAAAUGAAAAAAUUUUCAAUACAAGGACUUGAGUUUAGUCGGUCAGUUUGUAUGACAGCUAUAUGCUAUAGGUGUCAUAUAUAGGUGGUUCCGACAAAUGAACAUCUUCUUAGGGAAAAAAGGAUGUGUACAAAAAUUCAAAUCGAUAUCACAAAAACCGCGGGACUUGUUCGGGUAUACAUAUACUGACAUGCCGACGGGCGUGGCUUAAUCGACUCAGUUGAUCACGCUGAUCAUUUACACGUUUAUUAUCUAUACGUUAUAGGAUCUCUGAUGUUAACCGUCUUCGGAGUGUAUCUUUUAGGAAACUCUUUAAUAUCAGAGAUUAGAACAUCGUUGAAAAACAAAUUGUUUCUAUCAUUUUAAUUUUUUGAUAAGCUGGGACUUGUCGGGUGGUUGUUAUUAAUGUAUUGAGAAACUCCUUUGACUAAACUGCGACUAUUCAAAAGCGUUUUCGAAACUCUAUCGAAAAUGGAAGACCAACUUAAAUGGCAAAAGAUAUCCAGAAAUUAUCGGCUGCCAAAGUCAAACUUUCGGGAGCUUUCUCAUAUGAGUGGUUCCGUUUACUAUUUACCCUAUUAGAAACCUCUGAUUCACAGCAAUAUUCAUGCAUGUUAAAAGUUUUCAUAAAUAAAUAUCUAUAGUGUUGAUUUUCCUAGAGAUUUUUGCUGUCAACAAUGUCAUAGAAGAUUUCUACACUUUCGAGCAGUCGCACUUAAUUCACUCAAAAUGAAAAAUUGUGUUAGCAAAAUGCGGGCGUGUGUGCGGAAAUUUAUGCAAAUACGAGCAUAUUAUUUUGCUUAGAGUCAUAUACACACACAUAUGGUAUAUGCAUGUACGCUAAGAAAUAUACGGAUUUGUGGAGAUGAGAAUGCAUUUAAUAACGUUUUCCAGAACCUCCCUCAUCCACCUACUUGCACUUGCAGACGACUUUUGCUUGCAUACGAUAAAAAUGUUGAUUACGUUGACAUUCUGGCUAAGAGAGACAUUUAUUUGACUUUACUUUUUGGACGCGUCUGCGGCUUUAGCAGAUGAAGUGGAGGAUGAAGUCAUGCACAUAUUUUGAGUGCAGUUAGGUGACGCGUACUUAGCAAUACGGAAGAAGCAUACACUAGUGUAUAUGUAAGUUGAGUAAAUAAUGCAUUUGCCUGUGAUAAAGUGUGGCAUAAAAGUGGCAAAGUUUUAAUAUGUUUCUUGAAACUUAUUCUUCAUAUCAAAAUUACAAUUUUUAAGCAACACACCUGCAUACACAACUACUUUGAACUAACAAUAAAUAGUUUUUACACAAAAUUGUAUUAGAUCGGAUAAGUGACUAUAAUUUGAAAGAUUUUUAAAUGUUUUAAAUGCUUGUUUUAAGCUAUUGGAGAAAACUGUUUUGGAGUUUAUGGAAACUUUUGCCCCAUAAAUUUAUUUAUUUUAAAAAUUUUUAGUCUUUGUUAUAAAUCAAUCUACUAAGAUUGGAAAAAUCAUCGCAUAUGCUUUAAGGUUUAUUAAAAAAUGCUUCAGUAUAAUACUCAUUUAGGCAUUAAGAUAUCGUAUCUCUAAAAUUCCCCUCUUCUCUCCAAUUUGUGGUCUUAUUAGACAACCUUAAGGAAUAAAAUAAACAAACUGGUCUAAACUGGUCGAAAUUGAGUCAAUUAUACAUUGAAGGAUGGUUGGUUGGUUGAAAAGUAAGACGCAAGAGCGCUAGACCGCAGGCGAACGCACUUAAGCCAUCAUUAGGCCCAUUGUGUGUGUGAGUGGUAACCAAUUAAGCCUCAUCCAGAUUUGGUAAAAUACCUGACUUCUUUCUACUCCAGCUGCCCAAUGUCUCUUAAUUUGGAUAAUGGUUCAUUCCGGCGAAUCCACUUUGCAACUUUUUUAAAGAUGGGAACUUAGGGGUAGGUGACUCCUACUCUUGCCUAAAAGUAAACACUUUUUGGUCUAUACACCAUCAAACUACUCCAGUACCUUUGUGAUAUGCCCUGUGUUGUUAGUGUUACAAGAUCUGUGGUGUUCCUUGACCCUCAAAGGAGCUGAAUGGUCUAGAGCAGAUUAAGGAAAUUGUGUUCCUGACUAUCACCGAGUAGGCGAACUCGUCUGGCUUUACAUUUACUUAUGUUUCUAUACGACUGGCAUCAAGAUGAUUUUUACCAAAUUCCCUACUAAGAGUCUAGUUAUUGCCUCCUUGCAUAACAUAACGUAUUAACACUUAGUAUAGGCACUACGAACAACCUUAAUUGACGCUUGUCUAUUCACUAGAAGGUUUAUGGACUUGCGGGUUAGCGCAGAAGCUUCCACUUUCUGUUACGUCAACAAUUUCGGCUAAGACUAAUUUGUAUUAAUUUAAUCUUUUUAGUAAGGAUUACUACAGAAGAAGCGCGCUACUUUUUGAUCCGUCAGUAAAUAUAUAGGUUUCGCCGUUGGAACUGUUGAUCACAGAACCAUUGCUCCAUUUUUCUCUACCGAGGAAUGAAAACGUUGUGCUUAAUAAAUCACGGAUCUCCUUUUCUCGGUCGCAUGACCAACUAAACCCGAGUUUAUUAACAAGGUCGAUUAUAAUACCAUGCCCACAAUGACGCUGAGACUGGUUCUAAUGGCAUAAAGUCAUAAGUUCGCUGGUCGUAAGAUUUGCAUCACACUACACAUAAAUAUUUAUUGGCCGGAUAUCGAAAAUAACCUCCAGAACCUCUGUUCAUGUAAUUUUCAUUGCGGCGCUUUUCGAAAGUAUCCUACACCACCACCAAUAAAGGGUAGUUGUUAUAACGAAGCCUAAUUUACACAAGUAAUUAAUUAGUUUGAAGGUAUAUGGAUAAUUUUUGCAAUUUAAAUAAAUGUUGCAUAUUAAGUACUUAAUAUUUUUUUAUGAAAUAUAUUUUCUUACUGUUAUUUCUCCAUACAUCUCCACUGUAUAAGUUCAUACUCCUUUUUUCUCCACAUAUAAUCGCCAAUUAAAUUUCUCAAUUUAUUCAUUUUUUUAUCGAGUAGUUGUGCUUUCAGCAACUGGCAAGUGCAUUUCGGCAUUGUCGUGGUUCCAGUUGCUGCCAGUGAUAAAUGUUCACUUAAGUAGUAUUUAGUGUAAUUUCAGCUUGCAACUUGCUCGCCAGCUACGCCGUACUGCUCGUAUAACAAUGUAUAUAUGUAUAUACCCACACUUUAAGUAUACAUACAUUCAUCAGCAUAUAUACACAUAUUUUCUACGAAAACUCUUUAUGUUUCCUUACUCUUGUUGCAUUCAUACACACAUACAGCUAAAGGAACUACUGUAUCAUUGCUCCUGGUCUGUAGUAAUUUCGCUUACCUGAUUGGCCGAAUGGCAAUCGACUUAGCGGCCAAUUAUUUAUGACAUCCAAUUACAAUUUAAUUUUGUUAAAUCUCUCAUUUAUAAUGGAAGGAGUCCAUAGCUUAAAUCCAAAGGCAGUGGAGAUCGAUGCAAGCGUGUAGUUUAAGGGCUUGAAAACUGUUGCAUGGAUUGCAGGUUCGAGUUUCACGUGCGACAAAAUCUAAAUUGUAGAAAAGAUUUUAUCUUUAAAAAUGUUGAAAUAAAAAAAGUAAGUAAGACUAAAUUCGGUUGUAAACGAAAAUUUUAUACUCUAGCAAUUUUCAAAGAACAAAGCAAGUGGCAUUAUAUCAAGGACAGACUAGAAAUACCCUCUCUCUCUGAAUGUAAUUAAGAUCUUCUCUUCUUGGAAAUCGAAUAUUUUUCUUUAAGCGUAAUGAUUGAGUACGGCUUUGUAGAACCCAUAAUUACCUACAAAAAUCCCCCGACAGCAUAUGUCUAACUGUUAUGGCCAAUUUACAUAGACUUUUUUGGUUCAAUUUGCAUUAGACAUUUGUUUUGACAGAAAAGUUGGGCUUUAUGGUUGCGCCAGCCGCUCGGCUAGGCUGGAUAAUAAUAUGCGAUGUAGGCAUCAUUGGCGCACGGGAGUGGAAUCAAUGUCAAGAAAUAAAGUGCAGCGCGCCUGACUCGCCCAGUUAGCUCCCUAUGAAGCGGUCGUGUGCGAAAUUGUUCAAAUAAUUUUUUUAUAAACGAGAUUCCUUCAAUAAUUAUACGUUCGUUUCCGAACGCAUUACUAUCACUAGUUAGCUAAGUUUCUGCUAUAAAGGCGUUUUUUAACUCAGAAAACUAGCAGCAGAGAGCACAAGUCGAGAGCGGCAGAAGCUGAGAGAGCUUCUAGUUGGAAAGUUCGAAAUUUUUUAUAUAAGAUAUAUGCCGACUAGUGGAACUACUCAUCUGAUUGUACCCACUUCCAAUAUAAAUGCACAUUAUUAUUAAAAAAAUAUGUUUCUCUGAUUUUCAUUAAUAUGUCUCAAAAGCUGAAAGAUAUAUUCGGUUUGAAGUCAGAUAUAGAAACUGAGUUCCACACAUUUGGUAUCUGGGGGUUUGAAAUAUUUUUGUGUGAUAGGUGUUUGAUACACAUACCUAAGUGAACUAAUCAUAUUGAAUUUAAAAUUGUGAUGUAUCGAAAUUAGGACCAUAUGCUUACGAUGAAAGAACUUGUUCGACGAUUUUUAUUAACUUUUCUGAAAACAAGUAAAAGUGUUCAGUAGAAAAAAUAAAUAGUACUGAGAACACCAAUUUGGUAGGAAAUUUACUGCUCUACCUAAAUGAUCUCAUAUAAUUGUUCGAUUAAGUUAAGCGUUUACGAGAUAUUCAUCGUCCAACAUCAAUGCAUAUUAUACUUAUAAAUACAUAUAUUUCUUUCAUCUUUUUUUUAAAUUAUAAGAAAACGUUUUGUAGAGCAUUUAAUUUUCUACAAAAUCUAUGAAACGAGAUACUGUUUCAAGAAGUUGGAAGCGAGAUUUGAGGUUUUCUAUCUCAUAAUACAAUAAGACAAAAAAAGGAAGCUGUAAGGUGGAGAAUCUUCCCGUAAAAAUUAAGAGUUCCUAGUGGGAAAUAAUAAUAAAAAGUUUUUCAUAAACUGAGAAUUCUUACGCAUUACAGAGAGAUCACUAUACAAAAAAUUUAUGACAUUUUUUGGGUAACCCUAAAAUGAACAUUAUUGGCUUCACAAAGGAAUGUGUAGGUCAUAUCAGCCGCGAAGCUUUACAAUAUCGAUCGACAGGAUGGGACCGAACACAUGCAACGGAACUUGCCACCUUCUACGCCAAUGGACAAAACAUGGAUGGAUCAUUAUAUAUGUAUACGAGUCCAAUCGGCACAUGGAACAAGGUAAAACAAUUAUUACACAAUACUAUUACGUGUUAUUGGAUUGAUUGAACUUCGAGAUCAAACCUAGGUUGAAGUUUUUCAGUCAUUGUAGCAUCGGCGAUAUCUGAUAUUACAAAUUGACCAAAAACUAUAAUAGGAAAAUAAUUGUAUUUUCAACAAAAAUACAAUUCACUUUGAUACAAAUUUUAACUUAUUUUUUAAACCAUCGAAAAAUACUCUUCUCGCUAACAUUAAAACAAUUUACAAGUUUAUCUGCCUCGUCAUCACACGCAACGGCGCCACAAAUUCUUUAGCCGCUUAUCCCUUUAUACAAAUCGUCGGCGGGUUGCUUUGAACUAUUCCCCAACCGUUGAUUGUUAUAACCUAUGGCUAAAAAAUAGUAAUUAAGCCAACAACCAGUUCGAAGGCAAAAAUCUACCAUUUUCCUAUCGGCAACUGCCGGCUCAGCGAAAACCCACGCGGAAAAAGCGCGGCUUGGCAACUUGUGAAACCCGGCAAGCCAACGGAACCGAGUGCAUGUACGAGCACUACUUCUCGUGAUCGCAAUCGAUAUACAACAACUAAUGAUCUAAUAAAAUCGCUUACAACAGCGGCGAACAGAACUUGCAACGCACAUAGAAAUACCGAAAAAAAAAAUCAUAUAUACGCUGUAAAUAAAGAAAAUGAGCGCAAAUGAGAGAAAAAAGAUAAAAGAACUUAGUGAAGGAAGCGUUGCAGCUAUGCGAGCAACUUCCUUUUUGCGCUAGCAACAAGUUCAAAGUCACAAUCGGAAAAUCUCGCGCUACGCUGCCACAAGUGGCAUAAAUGUGCGAGUGAGCGGCGAACAAAUACAUUGAAGAAUUUACACAAUAAAUAUGGCAAAAUACAAAUAAUACAAAACUACAAUCUAGUUGCUUUUCAAUUGUAUUUUUUUUUUUGUAGCUGUCGUUGCAAUUGUUGGUUACUUCGGUAUAUAGACGAUUUAUCUGCGAUCUCAUAUCAUGUACUUUCGACAUUACAAUUGCGGUAAAUGCUUCUAGUUUUUAGUUUCAACGCGUUGGCCGCGCAGCUGCUACCGCCACCGCCGCAGCGGGAGCGGCAGUGCAACAUGCAACAGUGGCAACAGCAGCAGCCGCCACAAAUGAACUGUGCUGGUACGUAGCACGUCUGACUAUAAGCUUUAUCAAUAAGCAGUGAUCGUUGUCGGAGAAAUCACAAUAACAAUAACAACAACAACAGUCAGCAUACCGACAGCAGCAUUGUCGCAGCGCAACAACGGCGGUGGAAUCAGCGGUAGCAGCCGCAAACAACUUGCAACUGUUUCCCGAUUGCGCUCGAGACGCGUCUGCUGGUCUGCGUUGGAAGCUGCCGUGGAAGCUGCGCUACAAUCACAAUCGCGCUUUCGUUCCAUACAACAACAAUAGUAGUAGCAGGCAACAAUGACAGCGACGCGAAUGUAGAAAAUGUUGCUACUCUUCCUGUUUGUUUGUAUAUUGGCAUUGACGUUGUUGUUGUUGUUGUUGUUGCAGCAAUUGCUGCUGAUCUGCAUAUUGGCAAUAUUUACCGUGAUUUCAUCAUAUCGCGCGUUUCGUCUUUGCUCACUUUUUGCUCGCUACUCUUUGCGCAUAUUUUCGUAGCCUCUUCAAGCGAGCGCAGUCAAGUCGCACAGAUUUUUAUGUAACGAUUGCGGUGCAGCAAAUUUGUUAUUCUUGUGCUGCAAAUACAACUGAGUUGCAUUGAAUGCACCGAAUACGCAUUUGCGAUCGUUCAUUUUGAUUUCAUUCAUUGCAUUUCUCAUUGCUGUUGGGGCUUGGUGGCCAUUUUUCCGCCGGCAUCUCGUAUUUCCUUCAUUAUUAUUAAUGCAACACUGGCAACAAGUGCCAUUUGUAUCACAGCAAUUGGCGUAAUGCAGCACGAAAUAUGCACGUUGUUGUGAGCUGUAAUGUUGCGUUGAGUGGCAUCCGGAAUUACUCUCUCUUCGCUUCUUACAAGAUCUGCGAAUUUGUAUAUUGUCAGCGUGUUCUCUUGUAAUUCCAAAUAUAUGACUACAACGAAUCGCUGAUUUGAUCCUGCUAUGGCGUAUCGAAUGUCUUAUGUAAUAGCAAGCAUUAUGAGAAAUUAAAAAUUAAACUUUAUAUUUUUUUUUUUCAUAAACGCUGCCCGUAUUCGAUGUUGCUUAAUAACUAUCGAAUAUGAUAUGUUAUAUCUAUGAGAUUGCUCAGAAGCAAACAAUAUUUACAUUCAAACAAAUAUUUGUGCUGCCGAUUUUACUACUUCUCAAACCAUUUUCAGCUACAGUACCCGAAUUGGGAAGAGGAAACAUAUCAUAUUAUAUAAUAAGAAAGCAAGGAAGGAUGAAGGAAGUCAGGCUUGACAGUCACAAAUUGGAAUACUUGAGAUAGAUAUGACAUUAGCAUUGAAUAAUAAUUUUUGGUUGUUAAAAGAAAACCUA
Molecule: non-coding RNA, 8275 nt
Organism: Bactrocera oleae (olive fruit fly)
Lineage: Eukaryota; Metazoa; Arthropoda; Insecta; Diptera; Tephritidae
Source: RefSeq, a predicted model, not a curated record